RNAcentral lists this ribosomal RNA (500 nucleotides) under uncultured Myrionecta. RNAcentral's name for it is "bacterial SSU rRNA". It matches the Rfam family "Eukaryotic small subunit ribosomal RNA", at positions 1210 to 1796 of the family's 1831-position model. The record is from RNAcentral. Lineage: Eukaryota; Ciliophora; Litostomatea; Cyclotrichida; Mesodiniidae.
AAAACUUACCAGGUCAAGACAUGGGCGUGAUUGACAGGCUAAUGACUUUUCUCGAUUCCAUGGAUGGUGGUGCAUGGUCGCACUUAGUUGGUGCAGUGAUUUGUCAGGUUUAUUCCGGUAACGAACGAGACCUCGGCCUUGUAAAUAGCUAUGCUGCUUACAGGGACAUUGGCGGCUACGCCAAGGAAGCUCGAGGCAAUUGCAGAUCUGGAAUGCCCUUAGAUGUCCUGGGUCGCACGCGUGCUACAAUGACGCCACGAACGAGCUUGCGUGAUGAAAGUUACGCAUAAUCAGCAGUCGGCGUCUUAAGGGAUAGUCUCUUGUAACUGUGGGACUCCAACUAGGAAUGUCUCGUAAGCACAAGUCAACAUCUUGUGUUGAUUACGUCCCUGCUCUUUGUACACACCGCCCGUCGCUCCUACCGAUCGAGUGUUUAGGUGAAUUUGAUGGACGUAAGGAAGUCAAAUAAACCUGAGCACUAGAGAAGAGAAGUCGAGAUU